Molecule: ribosomal RNA, 1542 nt
Filed under: Triticum aestivum (bread wheat)
Lineage: Eukaryota; Viridiplantae; Streptophyta; Magnoliopsida; Poales; Poaceae
Description: partial small subunit ribosomal RNA
Source: RNAcentral
AUGCAGGCAUUCCUCGAGGUAGCUGAAACAAUAAAGAAAGAAGACGUGUUACUAAAGGUGUGGGCAAAACAAGUAAGGGAUCUGUCAUACAAUAUUGAAGAUUGCCUCAGUGAGUUCAUGGUGCAUGUGGGAAGCCAAAGCUUCUUACGUCGGCUCAUGAAGCUCAAAGAUCGCCAUCGGAUAGCCAUACAGAUUCGCAAUCUCAAAAUAAGAGUUGAAGAAGUAAGCAUCAGGAACACAUGCUACAACUUGAUAAGAACGGAUGUGUCCGGCGACAUUGAUGAAGUAAAUUCCCACAUGGAAGAUCUUCGCAAUCACUCGGCUAGCAACAUGAAUGAAGCAGAGCUUGUUGGCUUUUCCAAGCCUAAGGGGGAGAUGAUUAAGUUGAUGGAUGUCAACAUUAAAGAUGGUGUUGCCAAGGUGGUAUUUGUUGUUGGCAUGGGUGGUUUAGGAAAGACUACUCUUGCAAGAAAGACAUAUGAAAGCAAGGAAGCUAUUUUAAAUAAUUUUUCUUAUCGUGCUUGGAUCACAGUGUCACAAACAUUUUCCAAGAUAGAGAUGCUCAAGGAUAUGAUCAUGCAACUUUUCGGAGAUGAAGAAUUGAAGCGACGUUUGAAGGAACUUAAGGGGAAGAUAGUGCAAGUAGAUGAUCUGGCCAGCUACCUCAAGGUAAACCUACAGGAUAAGAUAUACUUUAUUGUUCUUAAUGACUUGUGGUCCAUAGAUGCGUGGAGGUUAAUAAAAGAUAUUGCGAUUCACAGUAGUAACAUCAAAGGUAGUCGGAUAAUAGUAACAACACGCGACAUUGGCCUAGCUCACCAGUGUACUUCUGAGUCGCUUAUUUACCACAUUAAGCCCCUACAAAUAGAAGAAGCCACGAAUCUGCUACUCAGAAAGACUGGGAAGACACGCAAAGACAUAGAAAAUGAUGAGGACAUGAGGACCUUGGUUUCUAAAAUAGUUAAAAAGUGUCGUUGUUUACCGCUGGCUAUACUUGCCAUAGGAGGCAUGCUUGCUACCAAAGCAGUCGAAAUGUGGGGAAGCAUAUAUAAGGAAAUCCCAUUGGAGCUUGAGAGUAACCCAAGCCUUGAAGCAAUGAGGAGGAUAGUUACUCUAAGUUACAGCCACUUGUCAUCUCAUCUUAAAUCAUGCUUUUUGUACUUAAGCAUCUUCCCGGAGGAUUUUGAAAUCAAGAGAAGUCGUUUGGUCGACAGAUGGAUAGCAGAGGGGUUUGUUACAGCUGGUCGUGGAGUGAAUGUUGUGGAUGUUGGAAUACGUUAUUUCACUGAGCUAAUGAAUCGAAAUAUGAUUCAACCAUCAAAAGUGAACAUAGAAGGAAUUGUUAAGAGCUGCCGGGUCCAUGAUAUCAUGCGUGAUGUAAUGGUCUCGAUUUCUGGAGAUGAAAACUUUGUGCACCUAGUACGAGAUAAUGAAGCCGGUACAAUAGAGGCGAAUUACCGACAUGUAGCAUACCAUGGUAGCACGUGCCAAAAAUAUUGGCAUGGAUUGGAGCCAUGUUCGGUCAUUAACAAUGUUUGGUGA